CAAAUAUUUAUAAUAUUGUUCAUUUUAAACUGUUCUCCCAGGCUGGCAUGAAAAACCCGAUGUGCCACACACUACUUGGCUUCACCUUCAGAUUUUGACUGCUAUGAAAAAUGAGAGGUUUCUUCCUAUGCUCUGUAGUCUGUGGAGAAAGUACAUCUAUAAUCAAGGCCAUGUUCCGACUCUGGGGAUAAGUAACUUAAUAAAACAAAUAAAGUGUUCAUCUUGGCACAGAGAGGGCAAAAACACAUCACUAUUACUUGACUGCACUAAUGCAGACUUCAAGACCUGGAUGAGAGGACUUCUUGCUCAAAUUGCUAUAGUGAAUAUACUUUUCAAAUAGAAAGUGAAGACCAAAUUAUUCAUAAGAUCUAAACAAAUACUUAAGGGUGACCUCUCUCUUUGUGGAUUCCAAAUCACUUCAUUAUAAUCAAGUCCUAUGUAGGUAACACUGCUGGGAAAGUUGUUGUGGGUCUCCUAUAGUAACAAUAAAAAUUAGUAAUAGCAAUCACUAAAGAAAAUAGAUUGGUUAGCUUGUUAUGUAACCAAGGCACUGAUGUUGGAUAAUUCUUUCUACUUUACCAUACUGCAUCUACUAAGCUUAACUGCUUAGGCUUAUAUUUUACUGUAUAUAAUACAUUAUUUUAUACCAUACUAUAUAAAAUAUAUAUAUCUAUUAUAUAAAAUACUUUACCAUAAUAAACAAACUCUAAAAGCAUUUACAUCCUAUGAGAAAAAAAGUUCCAGAAAAAUGCAUAUGAUGAAAAGACAGGACAUGAACAGCUUAGCAAAACUCCAUCUUUUGGCUUUGAGCUCAUUUGAUCAAACUUAUUUCAGUAACAAAUUCUUGAUUAUAAUAAUAGACUUCCACUGAUCGACUAUGAAGCGAGGAUAUGACCCUUUAUGGAUCAAGAAAUCAAAAAUUUCCAAAACAAAAAUUAUGUUAACAUCUUCAAUUUCUGUUCUCCUGACUUUCAAACAUCCAAGCCAAACCAGCACGAGUAGAUUUUUUUUAUUUAGAAUUGGUAUUGGGAGCACAAUAAUAAUAAUAAUAAUAAUAAUAGUAAUAAUAUUGCAUAUAUGAUAAUAGUAUCAUUUAAAGUGUGGUGUCUUUAUAAAUUGUUCAGACUGGGCUUUAGUACGUUAUUACUGUCUUCCCCUUUUCCAACCUGUAUGAGCUUUUUGCUCUUGGGAAACCAGGUCUAGCAGAUAGCCAGAGGAAGAUCCGAGGAUUUUCCUUGCUGCAAAAGUGAAGUUCAUUCAUAACAAAGGAAAUUAUGAAUUGUUAUUCUGCACCAUCUCUGUGGCUGUUUCAUCAGAAUACGGACCAGUCUCCAAGCUGUUUGAAGAAGAAGAGCUGUGCCCUGGUUUUUGCCACUUAUGUCAUAAUAUACUUGCUACAACGGGCAAUUAAGCUUUACCUUAAAAAUACAUUCCUAAUCCAUGUAUUUAUAUGAACAAAAGAUUAAAAAUUUGUAAUCACAUAUUUCCACCACUCAUCUCACUAAAAGCAAGCCUUUUAACUAACCAGCAACUUGGCAAAUUUUUACUAUCUUCUUUUUCCAGGAGGUCUUGAAUUAAUACCUAUCCUCCUGGAAAAACUGAUGAGACGCUCCUUGGUGUCAAAAAAAGAAACAUACAAUGCACAGAGCUUGUACCACAGUGUGGAUGGAAAUUUGAUAUGUAACAUGAGUUAGAAGGAAAAAAAGAAUGUGAGGAAAGUAUUAAAAUUUUAUUUGAAGUUCUGUAGGUCACUAAGUGCAAUACAUGCUCCUCACACAGUAGAAAUAUUUUAAAAUGCAUCAGACUUGAAAAAGGUGAAGAGAGAACUGUUCACCUUUGAUACCAGAGGCAGAUACCUCUUCCACCUGUAGCACCUAUUGGUGUAAGUCUUACUGGGUAUGGUUCCUUUUGGUGGAAGCGAAAGGACUUUUUUUUAAUGCCAGUCCAGCUUGGAAGCGUAAUUCCUUUACUACAUGAGAACAUCUAGUUCUAUGUAAUGCCCUUUGUAAGUUGUAGUGGGGUUUUUCCAUGU
Tympanuchus pallidicinctus (lesser prairie-chicken) is the source of this 2032-nucleotide long non-coding RNA. RefSeq lists it as uncharacterized. The record is from RefSeq and is a predicted model, not a curated record. NCBI's taxonomy places the organism in Eukaryota, Metazoa, Chordata, Aves, Galliformes, Phasianidae. The transcript is spliced from 5 exons.